AUUGAACGCUGGCGGCAGGCCUAACACAUGCAAGUCGAACGCGUGGCGGACGGGUGAGUUAUGUCUGGGAAACUGCCAGAUGGAGGGGGAUAAAUACUGGAAACGGUCGCUAAUCCCGAAUACCCUCAGAUGUGCCCAGAUGGGUUUCGCUUGUUGGUGGGGUAACGGCUCACCAAGGCGACGAUCCCUAGCUGGUCUGAGAGGGUGACCAGCCACACUGGAACUGAGACACGGUCCAGACUCCUACGGGAGGCAGCAGUGGGGAAUAUUGCACAAUGGGCGCAAGCCUGAUGCAGUCAUGCCGCGUGUAUGAAGAAGGCCUUCGGGUUGUAAAGUACUUUCAGCGGGGAGGCGUUACCCGCAGAAGAAGCACCGGCUAACUCCGUGCCAGCAGCCGCGGUAAUAC
RNAcentral lists this ribosomal RNA (406 nucleotides) under uncultured bacterium. Its description in RNAcentral is "partial 16S ribosomal RNA". It matches the Rfam family "Bacterial small subunit ribosomal RNA", at positions 30 to 526 of the family's 1533-position model. The record is from RNAcentral.